RNAcentral lists this transfer RNA (99 nucleotides) under Ecytonucleospora hepatopenaei. RNAcentral's name for it is "Enterocytozoon sp. ST-2009a tRNA". It matches the Rfam family "tRNA". From Rfam's summary of the family: Transfer RNA (tRNA) molecules are approximately 80 nucleotides in length. The record is from Rfam by way of RNAcentral. Lineage: Eukaryota; Fungi; Microsporidia; Enterocytozoonidae.
ACUCCUGUGGCUCAGUGGUUAGAGCGCGGUACUUAUAAGUUGUGUUAUGUUAACAGCAGAGUUAUGCUGAGGUCGCGGGUUCGAUCCCCGCCAGGAGUA